Long non-coding RNA from Siniperca chuatsi (mandarin fish), 713 nucleotides. RefSeq lists it as uncharacterized. The transcript has 3 exons. Lineage: Eukaryota; Metazoa; Chordata; Actinopteri; Centrarchiformes; Sinipercidae. The record is from RefSeq and is a predicted model, not a curated record.
UAUGUAUGCUAAUAGGGAGAGUUGGGGGUUGUAGCUAGAUAUUUACGUUCAGUGGGAGCCGCCCUUCAUUCACCCACAUGGUUACCAACUGGUCGCCUUCGCGCCACUUUCCUAACCCCGAAAUCAGUAUUAUUCAGCUUAUCUGGGCUAUAAAUUGACUCACGAUCGGCUCGGAUUUCACUUAAUGUUUCGUUUUUGUCCGCCGGUAGAAAAGUUUUCGCAUUAGUCGCGUAUUUAUUUCUUUUUUGUCGGUAAGAGACUACACGGCAGCCCAAGCAAGUGAGCGAAGAUGGUGGAUUUCGGCUGAUCAACCAUGAAGUGCAGAACUCCAAACAAUUGCAACAUGGAGCGGUGUGACCAUCUAUCCCAUGGUGCUGGACGGCAGCGAAGCUGUAACUGGUAUUUGCACAUACUUGGAUGUGUAUGAAGGUCUGGAUACUGGAGAUGGCCCUUCCUGUGCAGGUGGGGAUUAGUAGCAAUGCUGUGUACCUGGAGGUAUUGCACUUGUCCCGGCCUGUGUAGGAACGAGGAGAUGGAGCCGACCUGAAUCAUGACCCCAGUGUUUAUCAGAAAACUGCUGCACUCAACUCCAUAUUGUGUAAUGUUUUAGUCAGUUUGGUCUGUAUGAAAUGCAUAUGAUUUACUGAUGGAGAUGUUUGGAUUGGUUAAUUGUAAUGUUGCUUGAAAUAUAUAAAAAACUUUUUUUAAUUUUU